Molecule: transfer RNA, 74 nt
Filed under: Verrucomicrobiota bacterium
Lineage: Bacteria; Pseudomonadati; Verrucomicrobiota
Description: Verrucomicrobia bacterium tRNA-Gln
Rfam family: tRNA
About the family: Transfer RNA (tRNA) molecules are approximately 80 nucleotides in length. Their secondary structure includes four short double-helical elements and three loops (D, anti-codon, and T loops). Further hydrogen bonds mediate the characteristic L-shaped molecular structure. tRNAs have two regions of fundamental functional importance: the anti-codon, which is responsible for specific mRNA codon recognition, and the 3' end, to which the tRNAs corresponding amino acid is attached (by aminoacyl-tRNA synthetases). tRNAs cope with the degeneracy of the genetic code in two manners: having more than one tRNA (with a specific anti-codon) for a particular amino acid; and 'wobble' base-pairing, i.e. permitting non-standard base-pairing at the 3rd anti-codon position.
Source: RNAcentral
UACCCCGUGGUGUAACGGUAACACAGCGCCCUUUGGAGGCGUUAUUCUUGGUUCGAAUCCAAGCGGGGUAGCCG